RNAcentral lists this unclassified non-coding RNA (306 nucleotides) under Hevea brasiliensis (rubber tree). The record is from RNAcentral. Lineage: Eukaryota; Viridiplantae; Streptophyta; Magnoliopsida; Malpighiales; Euphorbiaceae.
AUACCGUGCCGCUUCAAUCCGUCGCGAUAUCCGGCCAGUCGUUCGCCGGCGUUGAACCCGCCGGGACGGCCCGCAAGAUGUGCGAUCCGCUUGUGACCCAUCUGCGCCAGAUGAUCGACGGCAAUUGCCGCAGCGGCGCGGCUGUCGAGCACGACACAAUAAGGGCUGCCCGACAGUUGCCGGUUGAGCAGCACGAAUGGCGUAUGGGUCGAGUCAAGUUCUUCGCGCAACAGGGCGUCAUCGUCGAGGCUCGCAACCAGCAGCCCGUCGGCGCGGUUGCCGUGAGACAGACGGUGAUAGACGGCG